Molecule: long non-coding RNA, 2587 nt
Organism: Gallus gallus (chicken)
Lineage: Eukaryota; Metazoa; Chordata; Aves; Galliformes; Phasianidae
Source: Ensembl
CACACAUACUCCAUGCUACCCUUGCCCUGGGGGCUGAGUAGAGCCCUGAGGGAUCAUCCUCUUCACCACCAGCCUAGACCUCAAUGAGAUUAACCUAGGCAGCUCUGUGAGGAUGGCAGACUUGUCCUUGGGAUGCGCAGCCCACGCAGGCCACUGUGCUCAGGGUCAGGUCUGAAUUUCACAGCUCACAUGAGUCUCUUCAGUCUUUGCCUAGCCUUAAAACUGAAGGAGUUUCUGGGCAGGGUCACACUUUGCCUGAGCUGGUCUUAGCACAAAGAUGGCACUAAUUAAACAGUUACGUAAAUAAUAACCACUUCAGGUUAGUUAAUCAGCCUAGAUAACAUAUCCAGCUCCCACACAGCACUCUCUUCUCAUCCACACAGCAAACACUGCAAUUUUAGUGCAAUGCUGAUGCAGUGUUGAAACACCCAGUAAUCAUUCAUUAGCUGAAACACUAGCAUCUAACAGCAAGCAGCAUAGCAUCUCAGCUCUGCAUCCCCUGAGGCCCUCAAGAGAUUAUUAAAAAUCCCCAGGUCCUCAGAAAUGUCAGUCUGGGAAUCCCUUUGUUUUAAACAAAAUGAAGGACUGGUCCUCUCUUUGAAACGCCCAACUUAUUCUCAGAGCCUUUUUAAAUCAAAUACAGAUAUGCUCUAUUCUUUCUGCAGAUCCAUCUGGCUGCUUAAAGGCAAAGAAAAGAACACUGCCACAUAAAGUGCGUACGCAUCUCCAGACAAAUUAAACCCCAGAGCCAGGUCAACGACCAGCUGAGUAUCCUGGGGAUGGGCAGGUAUUUUAACCGUGUGGCAGCUUGCUGGAGGAGAAGGAAGGAGAGGACGUGGGGAAGGCAUAGGGAACCAAAAAAGAGAACAGAUUUGUUAUUAGAAAGAUGACAUUUACAAAUACCAUUCCCUUUGGGUGAAGUUACACUUAAGCUAGAUGGCUCAGACAAUACUAAAACUGAGAUGAGGCUUUAUUUCUGAAGUUCUUUUCUUCUGAGGAACCUGAGACACUUUCAGAGAAGCAUGAAUUAAGCCUCACAACAGUAGUGUGCAUGAAACAGUGACUAUUCUCCAUUUAGUAGAAGGGGUAUACAAAUGCAAAGAGGUCAUGUGAGUUGUUUGAGGGCGUACAGGAAGUCUGUGGCACAGCACAGAAAUAGAAUCCAGACCUCUUGACUCCUAGACUUGUACUUCAACCACAACUCAUCUUUCUUCCCUUAAACAAUCAAGAAGUUGAAAGCCAAGCAGCAUCAAGUCAAACAUCUGAGCGAUGCUUGUCUUAGAUUUGUGAUGUGGCUCAGACUGUGUUCCUUCGGGCUGGCUAGAAACUGACACAGAAACAUCACUUCCUGAGGGGUCGUGAGAAAUGGAAGAAGACGGAGGGAAGAGGACUACUGAGACACUGAGACUUUCAAACCCAUCUUCUCAGCCUUCUCCUUACCAUAAAAUGACACAGCAGUGUUUUCUUCUGUUACCAUGGUGUUCUGCAAAUGACUUCAGCUCACUAACUAGAAAUUAAAUGGGCAAACCUCUGAAAGUUUGGCAGUUUGAAUAAACAUCUGCAGGGAUCUGGCUGGACCUGGGGACAGGCUGUCCUUUGCAAAAGAAACCACAGAAAUUGCUUGAGACGCACCACUCUUCUAAGGGCUUGUGCUGAGUCUAAAGGAAAGAGUGUGAAGCAUGUAAUGUCUGCACCCAGAGAGAGGGGGAAGAGCUAUUUGGAAGGGACACCUGGUGACCGCAGUGGCCAUGGGGCCACCAGCCAGCCUGCUCUCCUGGGUGAUGCAGCCGACUGCAGCAGAACAACAUGAACAUGCUGUCAGAUGCCUUGCAUCUGUGUACUCUCAUUCCUGCUCUAUUGUGCAACUAUUCCACUCCAGUCUCAGCUGAGGCUUCAAGUGGGAAUAACCCAAAAUACCACAACAACAGCUGUUUUGUUGGAUUUUAUGGAGCUGAAACCCAGGAGUCCUGGAAAUCUUCAAAUAAAGCUUUUUCCCAUAAAAGAAACUUCCAGAUGCAUAAGCCUGAGUGUUUGUGAGCAGCUCAUGUCUGUGUAGUAAGCUUGCAUUUUUUAUGUCUUCCCCUUGUCAUUUCAUUUAUAAUAAAUGUGUAAUAACUUGCUAAGUACUGCAGUAAUUCCUAAGAACAUUAAUGCAUUAUUUGAUGGUGAAAUUUCACUGGAAGGCCACCAUCAUCUGACUCCACAUAUUUUAGCAGGCUUUCCUUUACUGAAUAGAUUGCCUUUGAAUAAAAAAUUCCAAAAUUGAGAGCAGUCUUUAGGAAAAAUUUUCAUGGGUUUGACAAGCCAGUGGACAAGGGUUACAAUGCUCAAAGCUGCCUGUGAUAUGUAACAUGUCUUUUUUACCAGGCGGUGAAGGAGCAUAUUUCUACAUGAGGCAUUUCAAAGAAAGCCAGAUCAUUUUUUCCACAGGCAGCAGGAUGCUGUGCGCAAACAGUCACCCCACGUUUGUCAUCUUACAGUAAGGCUCUGAGACUUCACCUACGGAAGCUUCACAAAGCUUUACAAUACACUAUCUGCUCACUGUGAUGUCUUACACACUUUCCAACUGCUAUAGAAAAGGGUGAAA